This is a long non-coding RNA of Clarias gariepinus (North African catfish), 172 nucleotides long. RefSeq lists it as uncharacterized. The transcript has 3 exons. The record is from RefSeq and is a predicted model, not a curated record. Lineage: Eukaryota; Metazoa; Chordata; Actinopteri; Siluriformes; Clariidae.
AUAUGACUGGGGUGACUAUGAGUAGAACUAAUACUCAGAUGGGUCACACCCCUCAACCUGAUGAUGAACCAAUAUAUGAAAACUGACUUGCACACCUCUUUAAGGAUAAUUAGGCAUUAAAGUUUUCCAGAGGAAACCUGUUCUUGGAUGUGGAAGUGGAAGUGAAUUGUUG